This 1346-nucleotide ribosomal RNA is filed under the name uncultured bacterium. Its description in RNAcentral is "bacterial SSU rRNA". It matches the Rfam family "Bacterial small subunit ribosomal RNA", at positions 28 to 1381 of the family's 1533-position model. The record is from RNAcentral.
GACGAACGCUGGCUUCGUGCUUAACACAUGCAAGUCGAACGGAAAGGCCCUGCUUUUGUGGGGUGCUCGAGUGGCGAACGGGUGAGUAACACGUGAGUAACCUGCCCUUGACUUUGGGAUAACUUCAGGAAACUGGGGCUAAUACCGGAUAGGAGCUCCUGCUGCAUGGUGGGGGUUGGAAAGUUUCGGCGGUUGGGGAUGGACUCGCGGCUUAUCAGCUUGUUGGUGGGGUAGUGGCUUACCAAGGCUUUGACGGGUAGCCGGCCUGAGAGGGUGACCGGCCACAUUGGGACUGAGAUACGGCCCAGACUCCUACGGGAGGCAGCAGUGGGGAAUAUUGCACAAUGGGCGGAAGCCUGAUGCAGCAACGCCGCGUGCGGGAUGACGGCCUUCGGGUUGUAAACCGCUUUCGCCUGUGACGAAUCGUGAGUGACGGUAAUGGGUAAAGAAGCACCGGCUAACUACGUGCCAGCAGCCGCGGUGAUACGUAGGGUGCGAGCGUUGUCCGGAUUUAUUGGGCGUAAAGGGCUCGUAGGUGGUUGAUCGCGUCGGAAGUGUAAUCUUGGGGCUUAACCCUGAGCGUGCUUUCGAUACGGGUUGACUUGAGGAAGGUAGGGGAGAAUGGAAUUCCUGGUGGAGCGGUGGAAUGCGCAGAUAUCAGGAGGAACACCAGUGGCGAAGGCGGUUCUCUGGGCCUUUCCUGACGCUGAGGAGCGAAAGCGUGGGGAGCGAACAGGCUUAGAUACCCUGGUAGUCCACGCUGUAAACGGUGGGUACUAGGUGUGGGGUCCAUUCCACGGGUUCCGUGCCGUAGCUAACGCUUUAAGUACCCCGCCUGGGGAGUACGGCCGCAAGGCUAAAACUCAAAGGAAUUGACGGGGCCCCGCACAAGCGGCGGAGCAUGCGGAUUAAUUCGAUGCAACGCGUAGAACCUUACCUGGGUUUGACAUGGAUCGGGAGCGCUCAGAGAUGGGUGUGCCUCUUUUGGGGUCGGUUCACAGGUGGUGCAUGGCUGUCGUCAGCUCGUAUCGUGAGAUGUUGGGUUAAGUCCCGCAACGAGCGCAACCCUUGUUCACUGUUGCCAGCACGUUAUGGUGGGGACUCAGUGGAGACCGCCGGGGUCAACUCGGAGGAAGGUGGGGAUGACGUCAAGUCAUCAUGCCCCUUAUGUCCAGGGCUUCACGCAUGCUACAAUGGCUGGUACAGAGAGUGGCGAGCCUGUGAGGGUGAGCGAAUCUCGGAAAGCCGGUCUCAGUUCGGAUUGGGGUCUGCAACUCGACCUCAUGAAGUCGGAGUCGCUAGUAAUCGCAGAUCAGCAACGCUGCGGUGAAUACGUUCCCGGGGCU